UACUGCCAUACCAACGGGAAGGCGCCCAAUCUCGUCUGAUCUCGGAAGAUAAGCUGUGUUGGGCUGUUAUGCCCAGACCGUUUGUUCCCCAAAGAAGACCACCAGAGUCCAGAGUCAAAGCCAAGCGGCAA
Ribosomal RNA from Cercocebus atys (sooty mangabey), 131 nucleotides. NCBI's taxonomy places the organism in Eukaryota, Metazoa, Chordata, Mammalia, Primates, Cercopithecidae. The record is from Ensembl.